AACGAACGCUGGCGGCAGGCCUAACACAUGCAAGUCGAGCGCCCAGCAAUGGGAGCGGCGCACGGGUGAGUAACACGUGGGAACGUGCCUAUCGGUUCGGAAUAACUCAGGGAAACUUGAGCUAAUACCGGAUACGCCCUUUGGGGGAAAGAUUUAUCGCCGAUAGAGCGGCCCGCGUCCGAUUAGCUAGUUGGUGAGGUAAAGGCUCACCAAGGCGACGAUCGGUAGCUGGUUUGAGAGAACGAUCAGCCACACUGGGACUGAGACACGGCCCAGACACCUACGGGAGGCAGCAGUGGGGAAUCUUGGACAAUGGGGGAAACCCUGAUCCAGCCAUGCCGCGUGAGUGAUGAAGGCCCUAGGGUUGUAAAACUCUUUCGGCGGGGACGAUAAUGACGGUACCCGCAGAAGAAGCUCCGGCUAACUUCGUGCCAGCAGCCGCGGUAAUACGAAGGGGGCUAGCGUUGUUCGGAAAUACUGGGCGUAAAGCGCGCGCAGGCGGUUCUUUAAGUCAGGGGU
Molecule: ribosomal RNA, 519 nt
Filed under: uncultured bacterium
Lineage: Bacteria
Description: bacterial SSU rRNA
Rfam family: Bacterial small subunit ribosomal RNA
Source: RNAcentral